RNAcentral lists this ribosomal RNA (452 nucleotides) under uncultured bacterium. Its description in RNAcentral is "bacterial SSU rRNA". It matches the Rfam family "Bacterial small subunit ribosomal RNA", at positions 58 to 507 of the family's 1533-position model. The record is from RNAcentral.
CAAGUCGAGCGAGAAAGUUCCUUCGGGAAUGAGUAAAGCGGCGGACGGUUGAGUAACACGUGAGAAUCUACCCUUUAGUGAAGAAUACCUUCGAGAAAUCGAAAUUAAUACUGCAUAAGUCCCUUCGGGGAGAAAAAGUGGCCUCUUUGCUACUGCUAAAGGAUGAGCUUGCGGACUAUCAGCUAGUUGGUGAGGUAAAGGCUCACCAAGGCUAUGACGGUUAGCCGGCCUGAGAGGGUGAACGGCCAGACUGGAACUUAGACACGGUCCAGACUCCUACGGGAGGCAGCAGUGAGGAAUAUUGCGCAAUGGGCGAAAGCCUGACGCAGCGACGCCGCGUGGAGGAUGAAGGUUUUCGGAUCGUAAACUCCUGUUAAGUGGGAAGAAAAGUCUGUGGUUAAUACCCGCAGAAAAUGACGGUACCAUUAUAGAAAGCACCGGCUAACUACGUG